CCCGCACAAGCAGUGGAGUAUGUGGUUUAAUUCGAAGCAACGCGAAGAACCUUUACCAGGGCUUGACAUCCCUUGAAGCAGCUAGAGAUAGCUGUGUCCUUCGGGACAAGGAGACAGGUGGUGCAUGGUUGUCGUCAGCUCGUGUCGUGAGAUGUUGGGUUAAGUCCCGCAACGAGCGCAACCCCUGUGGUUAGUUGCCAGCAAGUAGCGUUGGGCACUCUAGCCAGACUGCCGGUGAUAAGUCGGAGGAAGGUGGGGACGACGUCAAAUCAUCAUGCCCUUUAUGUCCUGGGCUACACACGUACUACAAUGGCCGUUACAACGGGAAGCGAAGGAGCAAUCCGGAGCAAAUCCCUUAAAGGCGGUCCCAGUUCAGAUUGUGGGCUGAAACUCGCCCACAUGAAGGCGGAAUUGCUAGUAAUUGCAGAUCAGCAUGCUGCAGUGAAUACGUUCCCGGGCCUU
RNAcentral lists this ribosomal RNA (462 nucleotides) under uncultured bacterium. RNAcentral describes it as "bacterial SSU rRNA". It matches the Rfam family "Bacterial small subunit ribosomal RNA", at positions 920 to 1382 of the family's 1533-position model. The record is from RNAcentral.